AUACGGAGGGUCCAAGCGUUAUCCGGAUUCAUUGGGCGUAAAGCGCGCGCAGGCGGUCUUUUAAGUUGGAUGUGAAAGCCUACGGCUCAACCGUAGAACUGCAUCCAAAACUAUUAGACUAGAGUGUGAGAGAGGAAGAUGGAAUUAGUUGUGUAGGGGUAAAAUCCGUAGAGAUAACUAGGAAUACCAAAAGCGAAGGCAAUCUUCUGGAACACUACUGACGCUGAGGCGCGAAAGCGUGGGGAGCAAACAGGAUUAGAUACCCCAGUAGUCC
Molecule: ribosomal RNA, 274 nt
Filed under: uncultured bacterium
Lineage: Bacteria
Description: partial 16S ribosomal RNA
Rfam family: Bacterial small subunit ribosomal RNA
Source: RNAcentral